UACGUAGGGGGCAAGCGUUGUCCGGAUUUAUUGGGCGUAAAGAGCGUGUAGGCGGCUUGGUAGGUCCGCUGUGAAAACUCGAGGCUCAACCUCGAGAUGUCGGCGGAAACCACUUGGCUAGAGUCCGGAAGAGGAGAGUGGAAUUCCUGGUGUAGCGGUGAAAUGCGCAGAUAUCAGGAAGAACACCCGUGGCGAAGGCGGCUCUCUGGGACGUGACUGACGCUGAGACGCGAAAGCGUGGGGAGCGAACAGG
RNAcentral lists this ribosomal RNA (253 nucleotides) under uncultured bacterium. RNAcentral describes it as "partial 16S ribosomal RNA". It matches the Rfam family "Bacterial small subunit ribosomal RNA", at positions 524 to 776 of the family's 1533-position model. The record is from RNAcentral.